RNAcentral lists this ribosomal RNA (257 nucleotides) under uncultured bacterium. RNAcentral's name for it is "partial 16S ribosomal RNA". It matches the Rfam family "Bacterial small subunit ribosomal RNA", at positions 355 to 629 of the family's 1533-position model. The record is from RNAcentral.
UGGGGAAUAUUGCACAAUGGGCGAAAGCCUGAUGCAGCAACGCCGCGUGAGUGAUGAAGGUCUUCGGAUUGUAAAGCUCUGUCUUUUGGGACGAUAAUGACGGUACCAAGGGAGGAAGCCACGGCUAACUACGUGCCAGCAGCCGCGGUAAUACGUAGGUGGCGAGCGUUGUCCGGAUUUACUGGGCGUAAAGGGUGCGUAGGCGGAUGUUUAAGUGAGAUGUGAAAUACCCGGGCUUAACUUGGGUGCUGCAUUUC